Molecule: transfer RNA, 72 nt
Filed under: Gemmatimonadota bacterium
Lineage: Bacteria; Pseudomonadati; Gemmatimonadota
Also listed under: 3 other names
Description: tRNA-Cys
Rfam family: tRNA
About the family: Transfer RNA (tRNA) molecules are approximately 80 nucleotides in length. Their secondary structure includes four short double-helical elements and three loops (D, anti-codon, and T loops).
Source: RNAcentral
GGCGCCGUAGCCAAGUGGUAAGGCAGAGGUCUGCAAAACCUCUAUUCGCGAGUUCGAUUCUCGCCGGCGCCU